UACGGAGGGAGCUAGCGUUGUUCGGAAUUACUGGGCGUAAAGCGCGCGUAGGCGGAUUGGCAAGUUGGGGGUGAAAUCCCGGGGCUCAACCUCGGAAUGGCCUUCAAGACUGCUGGUCUUGAGUUCGAGAGAGGUGAGUGGAAUUCCGAGUGUAGAGGUGAAAUUCGUAGAUAUUCGGAGGAACACCAGUGGCGAAGGCGGCUCACUGGCUCGACACUGACGCUGAGGUGCGAAAGCGUGGGGAGCAAACAGG
RNAcentral lists this ribosomal RNA (253 nucleotides) under uncultured bacterium. Its description in RNAcentral is "partial 16S ribosomal RNA". It matches the Rfam family "Bacterial small subunit ribosomal RNA", at positions 524 to 776 of the family's 1533-position model. The record is from RNAcentral.